Molecule: ribosomal RNA, 418 nt
Filed under: Rasbora trilineata (scissor-tailed rasbora)
Lineage: Eukaryota; Metazoa; Chordata; Actinopteri; Cypriniformes; Danionidae
Description: partial 12S small subunit ribosomal RNA
Rfam family: Bacterial small subunit ribosomal RNA
Source: RNAcentral
AAAGCUUCAAACUGGGAUUAGAUACCCCACUAUGCUCAGUCGUAAACAAAGACAUAUAUGCACAAUAUUGUCCGCCAGGGUACUACGAGCACCAGCUUAAAACCCAAAGGACCUGACGGUGCCUUAGACCCCCCUAGAGGAGCCUGUUCUAGAACCGAUAAUCCCCGUUAAACCUCACCAUUUCUGGCCAACCCAGCCUAUAUACCACCGUCGCCAGCUUACCCUGUGAAGGAACAAGAGUAAGCAAAAAGAGCACCACUCCAAACGUCAGGUCGAGGUGUAGCGAACGAAAUGGGAAGAAAUGGGCUACAUUUUCUGUUAACAGAAUAUUACGAAUAUGCACUAUGAAAUAAUGCUUGAAGGAGGAUUUAGUAGUAAAAAGGAAACAGAGUGUCCUUUUGAACCCGGCCCUGAGCAC